Molecule: ribosomal RNA, 711 nt
Filed under: uncultured Bacilli bacterium
Lineage: Bacteria; Bacillati; Bacillota; Bacilli
Description: bacterial SSU rRNA
Rfam family: Bacterial small subunit ribosomal RNA
Source: RNAcentral
UGCUCCACCGAAAGAAAAGGAGUGGCGAACGGGUGAGUAACACGUGGGUAACCUGCCCAUCAGAAGGGGAUAACACUUGGAAACAGGUGCUAAUACCGUAUAACAAUCGAAACCGCAUGGUUUCGGUUUGAAAGGCGCUUUUGCGUCACUGAUGGAUGGACCCGCGGUGCAUUAGCUAGUUGGUGAGGUAACGGCUCACCAAGGCAACGAUGCAUAGCCGACCUGAGAGGGUGAUCGGCCACAUUGGGACUGAGACACGGCCCAAACUCCUACGGGAGGCAGCAGUAGGGAAUCUUCGGCAAUGGACGGAAGUCUGACCGAGCAACGCCGCGUGAGUGAAGAAGGUUUUCGGAUCGUAAAACUCUGUUGUUAGAGAAGAACAAGGAUGAGAGUAGAAUGUUCAUCCCUUGACGGUAUCUAACCAGAAAGCCACGGCUAACUACGUGCCAGCAGCCGCGGUAAUACGUAGGUGGCAAGCGUUGUCCGGAUUUAUUGGGCGUAAAGCGAGCGCAGGCGGUUUCUUAAGUCUGAUGUGAAAGCCCCCGGCUCAACCGGGGAGGGUCAUUGGAAACUGGGAAACUUGAGUGCAGAAGAGGAGAGUGGAAUUCCAUGUGUAGCGGUGAAAUGCGUAGAUAUAUGGAGGAACACCAGUGGCGAAGGCGGCUCUCUGGUCUGUAACUGACGCUGAGGCUCGAAAGCGUGGGGAGCAAA